Trachemys scripta elegans is the source of this 389-nucleotide long non-coding RNA. RefSeq lists it as uncharacterized. Lineage: Eukaryota; Metazoa; Chordata; Testudines; Emydidae. The record is from RefSeq and is a predicted model, not a curated record. The transcript is spliced from 3 exons.
AAUUCUCCCCUCUAGUGAGCAUCCCAUGGACCACCAUUACUACUUGCAAUCACAUAACUUCCUGAUAACUAUGCUAGUCCUGGAUGAACGUGAAACUGGGUGAGGAAGAGCACAAGGCAUUUCUCCACUGCCUCACACCUUGUAUAGUCACUCACCCCUGUACACAACAUUUUAUAUGUGCCAACCUCUCUAUGGCAGAUGUUCAUCUCUGUUGAACAGAGCACCAUACAGAUGUUUUACUGACUACAGGUGACAUGUUUAACAACAAUAAGCUCCAGAAGUAUUGGAAGAGUUUUUAGCUAAGAAUCUGGACAAAAUGAAGGACUUGCAAAGUAUACAGCUAAAGAAAAUAUUAAAAAAAAAAAAAGUACACAUGCAUCCACACAAAC